AUAGAAUACUAGGGGAGCUGAGCUGUCGGCUGAGAGGGAAAUAUGAGUUCCGACCCUUUGACCUGAACUAGGUAAUGCUAGCGGAGGGAAUAAAGUGCAUGCAUCG
RNAcentral lists this non-coding RNA (106 nucleotides) under Desulfosporosinus youngiae. RNAcentral's name for it is "TPP sequence". It matches the Rfam family "TPP riboswitch aptamer (THI element)". Rfam says of the family: Vitamin B(1) in its active form thiamin pyrophosphate (TPP) is an essential coenzyme that is synthesised by coupling of pyrimidine and thiazole moieties in bacteria. The previously detected thiamin-regulatory element, thi box was extended, resulting in a new, highly conserved RNA secondary structure, the THI element, which is widely distributed in eubacteria and also occurs in some archaea. RNAcentral also lists the same sequence under 1 other name. The record is from RNAcentral. Lineage: Bacteria; Bacillati; Bacillota; Clostridia; Eubacteriales; Desulfitobacteriaceae.